UACGUAGGGGGCUAGCGUUAUCCGGAAUUACUGGGCGUAAAGGGUGCGUAGGUGGUUUCUUAAGUCAGAGGUGAAAGGCUACGGCUCAACCGUAGUAAGCCUUUGAAACUGGGAAACUUGAGUGCAGGAGAGGAGAGUGGAAUUCCUAGUGUAGCGGUGAAAUGCGUAGAUAUUAGGAGGAACACCAGUUGCGAAGGCGGCUCUCUGGACUGUAACUGACACUGAGGCACGAAAGCGUAGGGAGCAAACAGGAUUAGAUACCCCGGUAGUCCCUGAGCGGGCU
This 283-nucleotide ribosomal RNA is filed under the name uncultured prokaryote. Its description in RNAcentral is "partial 16S ribosomal RNA". It matches the Rfam family "Bacterial small subunit ribosomal RNA", at positions 524 to 805 of the family's 1533-position model. The record is from RNAcentral.